RNAcentral lists this ribosomal RNA (460 nucleotides) under uncultured bacterium. Its description in RNAcentral is "partial 16S ribosomal RNA". It matches the Rfam family "Bacterial small subunit ribosomal RNA", at positions 338 to 795 of the family's 1533-position model. The record is from RNAcentral.
CCUACGGGUGGCAGCAGUGAGGAAUAUUGGUCAAUGGGCGAGAGUCUGAACCAGCCAAGUAGCGUGAAGGAUGACUGCCCUAUGGGUUGUAAACUUCUUUUAUAUGGGAAUAAAGUGUUCCACGUGUGGGAUUUUGUAUGUACCAUAUGAAUAAGGAUCGGCUAACUCCGUGCCAGAAGCCGCGGUAAUACGGAGGAUCCGAGCGUUAUCCGGAUUUAUUGGGUUUAAAGGGAGCGUAGGUGGAUUGUUAAGUCAGUUGUGAAAGUUUGCGGCUCAACCGUAAAAUUGCAGUUGAUACUGGCAGUCUUGAGUACAGUAGAGGUGGGCGGAAUUCGUGGUGUAGCGGUGAAAUGCUUAGAUAUCACGAAGAACUCCGAUUGCGAAGGCAGCUUACUGGACCGUAACUGACACUGAGGCUCGAAAGUGUGGGUAUCAAACAGGAUUAGAUACCCUGGUAGUC